GAGAGAGAGAGAGAGAGAGAGAGACUUUGGUUCUUCAGAAAGGAUGGAGAGAGGAGCAAAGGAAUCUCAACAGCAAAGCCUUUGAAAAUUGAGAGCUGAACGGAGGGACCUCGUUAAGAACCCUGAAAUGCUCUUGAACUGGCUGUUGAAAGGAUGAUGACUGACUGUCGUGGGUAGAGAACGAAAAAGCUAACGGAGGACGAAUGGAAUGCAGUAGCAUGAAAAAGGACCCGGCUGGCCAGAGCUCUGAAAGACAGUGCAUUCCACGCUGCAAUGUCUUGUUGCAGGCCCCACUCGUUUUGACGAUAACAAAUAUCAGAUUCACAGGAACAGGAGGAAGUACAAUGGGGAGAAAUGACAUAGAUGUUCAACAUGGCUGGCAGAAAAAGCCGCAUUUUCCAAACAGGAAGGCAACAGUCGCAAUCCAGGUGAGCACAUUUGAUAGGUUGUUUUAAACAGUUCUUUUUUUCUGGGGGGACACAGGGGUACACACAGCCCUAAACAUUUUGUGAAUCUAACAGGAGAAGAAACUAAAAAAAAAAUAAGAAUAAAAAUAGUUUCUUCUCUAGCACGGUGAAUCGUUGGUUCCGUUGCUACUCCCGAUGGCGGCCUCAUUUCUUAUCACGGUGUUUCCUAAGUCUCAGACAGAAGUGAAUGUUUAAUGUGUGAAGCAGGAGUUGGAAUCUAGCAUGGUGAUUGGUCAGUUUCGUUGUUACCACCUCCAAUGGUGGCUUCAUUUCCUUUCCCAGUGUUUCCUGAGUCCCAGUUGGAAGUGAUCAUUUAAUGUGUGAAGCAGUGUGGAAUGGAUUUAAACACUGUAGCCAACUUAACGUUUAUAAAAUUGGUAGGCCCUCUGUGUUUGUUUAAGCCUUCAGUGUAUGGUUUUUGAAAGGAUGACACCUGGCGACGGACACCAACAGCAAACAGAGGAAUCGGGAAUAUGUUAGUGCACACAACCUCACGCCAAUGUGGAAGUUACUGUGAGCUGUCAGCUGUGUAAUAUGAGGUUAUGCAUGUUCUUUGUACUUUGGUCCAUUUGCUGUAUUUAUUUCCCCCAAUUUGAACUAGAAAAUUGUGAUUUUCUUGAGUCAAAAUGAGAGUACUCCUAUUUUUUAAAAAUGAAAAAAGCACUGUUUUUAAGGUACCUACUUAUCUCAUGACAGUUCUUGCCAGCACCUGCAAUUCUGUAAGAAUGGCUUUCGGAUUUCAUUUUGUGUUGAUGUUUUUCUUACAUUAUGACUCAUAGCUGUAAGAUGAAUGCAGACAAGUUGAGAUGUGGAUGUCCAAAUCACACAAAAUCCUAGCCAUGAGGGCUAUACUCUGCUUCCUCAGUUGGAGUCAGUAGUGCGUCUGAGUACCAGUUGCUGGAAGCCACAGGAUGCUCUCAGAUCCUGCUUCUGAGUUUCCCUCUGGCAUCUGGUUGAGCCACUGUGAGAACAGGAUGCUGGACACCAGAUGGGCUGCUGGCCUGAUCCAGCAGGCUCUUCUGGUGUUCGUUAAAUGAAAUGACAAAAACCCUAAAAUGAAAACUAACACAAAUGCAUUUUGAUUGAAGGUCUUCUUCAGUGGUUUCUGGCAAAGAUACUUACAGUACAGCAGUACCUCUCCGCUUACGUAAUCCUCUGGUUACGUAAACUUUGGGAAACCCAGAAGUAUUUUACCGGGUUUUGCCACGCACGCAUGCGCAGAAGUGCUCCUCUGGUUGUGAAAACCUCAGGAUCUGGCCAGACCUCUGGAAUGGAUCCUGCCUGCAGCCAGAGGUACCACUGUAUAUAAGAAAGAAAGAAAGAAAGAAAGAAAGAAAGAAAGAAAGAAAGAAAGAAAGAAAGAAAGAGAAAGAAAGACUUGUGACUCUCCAAAUGUUGACAUUAAACUCCCAUCAUCCCUGACCAUUGACCAUCCUGGAGUUGUAGUCCAAUGUUCCUCACCCCAGAAUUGUAGAAUGGAGCAGAGAAGGGAACUCAAAAAGAGUUUGCCACAGGGCCAAAGUUCUCUCUGUAGGCCGAUGCAGAAAUCUUCCCUGUUCUUCUAUGCCCAUGUUCAAUUUGACAUGCCCGCCACAGCCGUCUCGACUAAAAUAAAUGCAUAACGGAUAAAAUGAGAGCCAAUAAUGAAGGAUGACCUCUCCCAGCUGCAGUGGGCUCUCCUUUAAACCCUUGGCGAAGAUCAUUAGUGUCUUGUCGUAAAUGCAAAGCUAAAGGUUAUUGUUAUUGCCAGAGCUGUCAAUCUCCUUUGCAAAUAAUGAGAGCAACGAGAGGCGCAGCAGCAGCAGCAGCAGCGGUGGCGAACGGCCACUUGAAACAGUUGGAAUCCCUCUGUGCUCUUGCACGCUUCCCUUUUUUGGGAAGGAAAAAAGAGCUUUCGGAGCCGUUGCAAAUGGCAGUUAAGAAUAACAGAUCUCCGCAGCCUGUCUGGCUCCAGGGUCAUUUAACUCAUAUACCGGCACUGGCAGCUUGAAGGGGAAUCGAGAACGGAAGCCAGCUAUGCGUGGAAAUCCUUUAUUUUUGAUUUGUAAUGUCUCAGCAUGGAGGAUCAUGGGAAAUCAAGAGAGAUUUCUUGUGUUGCUUUUUUUUAAAAAAGCACGAGCUCAGAAGCACUCUCUCUUUUGCAGCCAGUGUGGUGUAAUGGUUGGUUUGUUGGACUAUGACCUGGCAGGCUGGGGUUCAAAUCCUCCCUUAACCUUCAGCUCACAGGGUUGUUGUGAGGAUAAAAUGAGGAGGGGAGAACCAUGUACCCUUGAGAGCUGCUUGGAGGAAAAGGUGGUAUAUAAAUCUAACAAACAAACAAACAAACAAACAAAUUGGUGCAAAUUGAACCAUAUGUACCACCCUAUCAAACUAAUUAUUAGUCUGGCUUUUAAUCUGUUUGUUUUGCAUUUACUUUUGUGGGAUGUGAAACUUAUAGCAGUCAAGUACAACAUUCCUACAGUGGACAUGAUGGGGAAUGUUUUGUAUCACUUGGGAGAAAACUUCCUGUUUCCUCCUCAGCUGGGACAGACUUCCACUGCAUGUGACUUGAAGUGGGUGUGGCCUAUUCUGGGUAGAGGAGCACAUCUCCUUCUGCUUCUUUUUCUUCUCCAUUUUUGUUUUCCUAUGUAUUAGGAGAAGUGACUGCUCAGUCGCAGUCACUUGGGACUAACUCCCUUAUGGGAUAGUUCAUGUAGAUAUGUACUUUUGUAACCUAAGUCUGCCUUUUGGGGAUCUAACUGUGAACUGAAUGAUUGUAAGUAAACUACUUUUACAUUGACUUUAAUAAGACUGCCGUGUCUAUUCUUUUCAAGAGGGACAAGAAGGGAUCUUAUCAGGAAUCUGAUAUUGAGAGGCUCAGAUGAGCCUGCAACAAGUUAACCGCUGUGCGAUUAAAGGGGAAUGUUUAAACCAGGCAUCCCCAAACUGCGGCCCUCCAGAUGUUUUGUAACUACAACUCUCAUGAUCCCUAGCUAACAGGGCCAGUGGUCAGGGAUCAUGGGAGUUGUAGUCCCAAAACAUCUGGAGGGCCGCAAUUUGGGGAUGCCUGGUUUAAACUCUGCUAAGAUACAGAACUUCCUAACCCAAGUUAGGAAGCAUAUCACCAAACAAUAUAUCCUCUCCUGCCUCCCUGAACAUUCCCACAACUUUUUAAUGAUUGGUUUGGUAUGUUGUAUUUUUGCAUUGUGCUUCACACCACUUUCUGAUUCUCAAGAAAAAAGAAAUGAAAAGUGGUAUAGAAUAUUUUUAAUUUACACUAAAAAUGAAGAGGAAGGAAAACGAAAACAGAGCAAAACGGUAAAGGAUCCAUAAAGGCAGGGAAAGCUUUUCGGCCCUAGCAUUGGGAAACGGCAGGAAGGAAAGGUGCCCAUGUCUUGUCUUCUGCUUGUGGUUCUCUGUGCCGGCGCCAGCGGAAGAUGCUGCCUGUCUGAUAAACUCGGCCCUCUCCAUCUUCAGGGCCAUUUGCCUUGGGAGCCAGGUUCACGUGAUGCUAUCGGUGGAUGAUUUAUGGCCGUUGCCUCUCGCCUGACAUUUUUGGGGAAAGUUUUCAUUGUUCAUAACCGGCUUGCAAACAACGGCAGACGUUGCAGGUGCAGCAGAAUUUUAAAUGCGAGCGCAAUUAAAUGGGAAGUGGGCCGCCAGCCGCCAGCAGGAAGCUUCCCCGUAAUAAUACAGGAGAGUGGAACUCUCUGCAGUAUUGAUCUUGUGAUGUUUCAGCGAGAGGUUGCUUCAAAGCACAGUUGCUACAUAAUGGCAUAUGGUCUCUCUCCUCUCUCUCUUUCUUUCUCCCUCCCUCUCUCUCCAUUGCUGCUGCUUCAAUAUUUUCUGCAUAGCGAGGAUGCACUCUGCCAACACCUCUGUGGCAAUAAUUGGAUCAGAUGUAUGUUACAAGCGAAAGAUGAUAAAAAAAAAAACAGCUCGCUUGAUUGUUGUUUAAGCUCUGCGGAUAUCUCCCGUCUUGUCCCUUUGAUAGAUUCAGCUCCUUUUUUUUUUU
Molecule: non-coding RNA, 4461 nt
Organism: Zootoca vivipara (common lizard)
Lineage: Eukaryota; Metazoa; Chordata; Lepidosauria; Squamata; Lacertidae
Source: RefSeq, a predicted model, not a curated record